GACGAACGCUGGCGGCGUGCUUAACACAUGCAAGUCGAACGGAAAGGCCCUGCUUUUGUUGGGUGCUCGAGUGGCGAACGGGUGAGUAACACGUGAGUAACCUGCCCUUGACUUUGGGAUAACUUCAGGAAACUGGGGCUAUUACCGGAUAGGAUCUCUUGCUGCAUGGGGGGGGUUGGAAAGUUUCGGCGGUUGGGGAUGGACUCGCGGCUUAUCAGCUGGUUGGUGGGGUAGUGGCUGACCAAGGCUUUGACGGGUAGCCGGCAUGAGAGGGUGAACGGCCACCUUGGGACUGAGAUACGGCGCAGUAGCCUAUGGGCGGCAGCAGUGGGGAACCUGGCACAAUGGGGGGAAGCCUGAUGCAGAAACGCCGCGUGCGGGAUGACGGCCUUCGGGUUGUAAACCGAUUUCGAAUGUGACGAAGAGUGAGUGACGGUAAUGGGUAAAGAAGCAACGGCUAACUACGUG
RNAcentral lists this ribosomal RNA (468 nucleotides) under uncultured bacterium. RNAcentral describes it as "partial 16S ribosomal RNA". It matches the Rfam family "Bacterial small subunit ribosomal RNA", at positions 28 to 507 of the family's 1533-position model. The record is from RNAcentral.